Molecule: ribosomal RNA, 253 nt
Filed under: uncultured bacterium
Lineage: Bacteria
Description: partial 16S ribosomal RNA
Rfam family: Bacterial small subunit ribosomal RNA
Source: RNAcentral
UACAGAGGGUGCAAGCGUUAAUCGGAAUUACUGGGCGUAAAGCGCGCGUAGGUGGUUUGUUAAGUUGGAUGUGAAAGCCCCGGGCUCAACCUGGGAACUGCAUUCAAAACUGACAAGCUAGAGUAUGGUAGAGGGUGGUGGAAUUUCCUGUGUAGCGGUGAAAUGCGUAGAUAUAGGAAGGAACGCCAGUGGCGAAGGCAACCACCUGGACUGAUACUGACACUGAGGUGCGAAAGCGUGGGGAGCAAACAGG